Molecule: long non-coding RNA, 3491 nt
Organism: Esox lucius (northern pike)
Lineage: Eukaryota; Metazoa; Chordata; Actinopteri; Esociformes; Esocidae
Source: Ensembl
UGUUGCUUGUCCUUGAAUGUUUUGGGAGGAUGAAUGAGCUCAUAGAUAAGGGAAUCCUUCGACUUCAGAGAAUAUGCUGUGUAAUGUUGAGAAUCCCAGAGGGUUGUGAAAAACAUUGAUGGAAGACUCAAUGAUCCAUCCAGUAAUUAGCAUAAUGGGAGGACCUAAUAUCAUUGUAUAACCAUACUGUAUAAAAAUGUGUGUUUAAGGUUUGGAAGUCAGUUGUUCUGCAGACCAACUCAGCUUUUUUUAAUCUUCAUUUAAGUCUAUUUUGGAUUCACAAGUUCCUGAGUUUUUGCAUCUUUUUUGGCCGGACAUUCUUUGGUUGGGUCACACAAACAACACGUGGCCACAUUGAGAGAUGGCCCAGAUCAUUCCAAGGCCAAACCAAGCCCAGACCUGUGAGAGACUGCCUUGGGUUCAAAAUAAGAAAAUUGGACAGCGACGAUUCCAGCUACACCACACCCAAGGAGAGGUUGGAGGAAUGGAGAGACUGAUGGUUCCAGCUACACCACAUCCAAGGAGAGGUUGGAGGAAUGGAGAGACUGAUGGUUCCAGCUACACCACAGCCAAGGAGAGGUUGGAGGAAUGGAGAGACUGAUGGUUCCAGCUACACCACAGCCAAGGAGAGGGUGGAGGAAUGGAGAGACUGAUGGUUCCAGCUACACCACAGUCAAGGAGAGGUUGGAGGAAUGGAGAGACUGAUGGUUCCAGCUACACCACAGCCAAGGAGAGGGUGGAGGAAUGGAGAGACUGAUGGUUCCAGCUACACCACAGUCAAGGAGAGGGUGGAGGAAUGGAGAGAGGCACGCAGAACAAAGAGGCUUCUACAUCCAUGACUGUAACAGUCAGGAGCCACUUGACUGGACAUGGGGGAAUCACAGAGGAGAGAGGAGUUGUAUUUUAAUUUUUAAUACACUUUUUAUAUCAAUGUUAUGUUUGGGUCUUAGAAAUUGUCUGGCAAAUUCUGAUUAAAUUGGUUAUUUGGUCAUUGCUAUUGUACUUCCAGCUAGUUUUAGUCUUUUGUUUUUUGCCUAUUGUUGUUUUAAAUCUAAAUUGAUAAUUGUUUUGGAUUUGUUGUGAAUAAUUUGUGAUGAUUUUAUACAUCUAAAGCAUUUGUUUAUUCGUCUGACAUUUAAGUAAUGAUCUCACCAUCUCUAAUAGUUGAGUAUUAUUUCAUGAAUGGCAGUAGCCCAGAUGUUAGGGCCCAGGAGAAUAGGUAAACUGAUGUAGUGUUUUUGUCUUCUCUUUUCUCCUAUAAGGAUGGUGUUGCAGACCUCUAAAUCAAUGCAUGGAGACGAUUUGGGAACAAUGAUGUGAAGUGAUACCUCCCGCGACCAUUUCUGGGUUCCAGAACCUGAUUCAUGAACGUUUCAUUGGGGGGGGGGUGGCGGAAGGCCUGACCUUGUUAUGUCUGGAACGCAUCAACGGUGAGACAGAAGAGCAACAGAUCUGAGGCACAGAGUGGCUCACUACAAAAGAAAAUGGGACUGAGUUUCUGUUAAAGUAUUUACAACAUCAAGACCAAAGAAAAGAGGCCUUUGGGUCAAAAUGUCAACAGACAUCACAUAAGGACAAUGUGCCAGGUGAAGGGAGAGGACUAGGGAGUAACUUCCCAGUUAAGUCACACUUUGCCAUGUAUUGGGAUAGAGGUUGUGACAAAUGAGGUCUAAAUUGAGUGGGAAGUCAAAACUAAAAUUUAACUAUUUUGUUAUAGCCCACCAAGCAACUAUAAGAGAAAGAGGUGUUGAAGAAAUAAAAUGAAAUAUUUGGGGAAAAGUAUGGGACAGGAAAAUGACCAGUGAGGAAUUAGAUACUUUCAUAUCGUGGAAACAACCCAGAAAAUGAGUAACUAAUAGGUAGAAUAGGGACACAAGCAGUACCACGGUCCAGACAAUGAAACCAGGGACACGGCAAGUGAGAAGAAGGACAAGGCAAGUGAAAUGAAGGAUAGGAGAGAUGGAAAGCAGGGAAAGAGAAGUGAAAUGCGGGAGAUCAGAAGUGGGUACAAGAAGUACAAUGAUGGUCAGAGAAGUGGAAAAGUAAAUAAAUGGUGAGAAUCUGAGAUUGAUAAGGAUAGGAGUCCAAGAUACCGAAAACCUGUGGAGGAAGGUUUAAAGAUCUUGGGCAGGCAUGAAUGUUUUUAGGCCAGUGGUAUGAUUGUAGGGAGAAAUGUAAAACCAUUAUUAAUUUGGAUAAUAUCGACAUAGUAAUAGGGUUGUCUUACAGUAGCUGUUUCCCUUGCCCUUUUAGGGGAUAUAGGUGUAGGUAUUGCAGGAAAACAAAUAUCCUAGGAAGAUACGUGAACAAAUGUUUCAUGAUGACAUUAUCAUUUCCCAAGACCCUAUGAUUGUGCUUUGUGUCAAAGGGGGGACUGUGAUUUCUGUGCUGAGAAGGACUGAUCUCCAUUGUAAAGAUGGUUUCAAGUUCCUAGGUGGAUGGUAGCCAACCUAUUACAAAGAGAGUACUGCUUGGAGAAUUAGAUGGUUUAUUAUUUUUAUUAUUUUACUUAUAUUCUCAUACUCUCUUUGAUUGAAGUGAUUAUCAUUCAAAUGAUGUAUGUUUUAUUUUAUGCAAUUUAUACUCAUUUUAUAAUCAGUUUAUAUUCCAUUCAUAUGUAAUCGUUUGAAACAACAUAUUUUGCAAGGCUCUGAAAGAAAUCUGCACAUGCUUACACAAACUGACUUGAUUGGUCAGGUUAGAAUUAUUUUACUUCCUCCCAGCCAAACAGGGAGGGAAAGGUUUGGCUUCCAGCCUCUGGAGUGGUGGUUGACAGAGGAGAUUGUUUUAGAUAAUUGGGUUGAUUUCAACUCUCUUAUAGGAACUGAGUUUUCCUCCUCACCUGCCGUUUCCAGGUCUAGAUUGUGGGACUUAGAGGGGGGAUGUGUAGGGAUAUUUUCAUAAAAUGUUGUUCUCUCACAUUAACCCAAUGAAGAGUAGACAGAACGUCUCAUGUGAUCUCUUGCAUAUCAAUUGGGUGUUAAUGAAAUAUUUAACCAAGGCUCAUACUUUUCCCAAACAGUCCAAUUGUCUUUGAUGUUUCCACAUUUAAUUGUUAAGAGUGGCUGAUGAAGAAUACGGUAAACAGUUUGGAUUUCUAUGUGUGUCAAGGUCAACAGCUGUGCUCAGUUUUUCUUCUUACUAUACUGAUGUGACUAAGGAGCAACAGUUUAUUUCAUCUUGAUGUAAGAAUGACCUGUUGCUUGUCCUUGAAUGUCUUGGGAGGAUGAGUGAGCUCAUAGAUAAGGGAAUCCGUCCAUUUCAGAGAAUAUGAUGAGUAGUGGCUGGGGGAGCGAAUCCUAGAGGGUUGUGAAAAACAUUGAUGGAAGAUUCGAGGAAGGAUCCAUCCAGAAAUUAGCAUAAUGGGAUGACCUAAUAUCAUUGUAUAACCAUACUGUAUAAAAAUGUGUGUUUAAGGUUUGGAAGUCAGUUGUUCUGCAGACCAACUCUGCAUUUUUUAAUCUUCAUUAAAGUCUAUUUUGGAUUCACAA